UACGUAGGUCCCGAGCGUUGUCCGGAUUUAUUGGGCGUAAAGCGAGCGCAGGUGGUUUAUUAAGUCUGGUGUAAAAGGCAGUGGCUCAACCAUUGUAUGCAUUGGAAACUGGUAGACUUGAGUGCAGGAGAGGAGAGUGGAAUUCUAUGUGUAGCGGUGAAAUGCGUAGAUAUAUGGAGGAACACCAGUGGCGAAGGCGGCUUACUGGACGGCAACUGACGCUGAGGCUCGAAAGCGUGGGGAGCAAACAGG
Molecule: ribosomal RNA, 252 nt
Filed under: uncultured bacterium
Lineage: Bacteria
Description: partial 16S ribosomal RNA
Rfam family: Bacterial small subunit ribosomal RNA
Source: RNAcentral